GAUUAAGCCAUGCGAGUCAACGUAGCAAUACGUGGCACACGGCUCAGUAACACGUAGUCAACAUAACCAAAGGACGUGGAUAAACUCGGGAAACUGAGGCUAAACCGCGAUAGAUCAAGAUACCUGGAAUGGUUUUUGAUCAAAAUCUAUAUGGCCUUUGGAUUGGACUGCGUCCGAUCAGGCUGUUGGUGAGGUAAUGGCCCACCAAACCUGUAACCGGUACGGGCUCUGAGAGGAGGAGCCCGGAGAUGGGUACUGAGAAAAGGACCCAGGCCCUAUGGGGCGCAGCAGGCGCGAAACCUCUGCAAUAGGCGAAAGC
Molecule: ribosomal RNA, 319 nt
Filed under: uncultured crenarchaeote
Lineage: Archaea; Thermoproteati; Thermoproteota
Description: bacterial SSU rRNA
Rfam family: Archaeal small subunit ribosomal RNA
Source: RNAcentral